RNAcentral lists this ribosomal RNA (400 nucleotides) under uncultured bacterium. RNAcentral describes it as "partial 16S ribosomal RNA". It matches the Rfam family "Bacterial small subunit ribosomal RNA", at positions 360 to 774 of the family's 1533-position model. The record is from RNAcentral.
AAUAUUGCGCAAUGGGGGGAACCCUGACGCAGCGACGCCGCGUGAGCGAAGAAGGCCUUCGGGUCGUAAAGCUCUGUCCUCAGGGAAGAAGAAAGUGACGGUACCUGAGAAGAAAGCCCCGGCUAACUACGUGCCAGCAGCCGCGGUAAUACGUAGGGGGCGAGCGUUGUCCGGAAUUACUGGGCGUAAAGGGUGCGUAGGCGGCUUCUUAAGUCAGAUGUGAAAGACCACAGCUUAACUGUGGGGUUGCAUUUGAAACUGGAGGGCUUGAGUAUCGGAGAGGGUAGUGGAAUUCCCAGUGUAGCGGUGGAAUGCGUAGAUAUUGGGAGGAACACCAGUGGCGAAGGCGACUACCUGGACGAAAACUGACGCUGAGGCGCGAAAGCGUGGGGAUCAAACA